UUUGAAAACAAGGAGUGAAGAUUGGUGAUGCACAUCGCGUUAAUGAUAAUUUUUAUUGAAAUUGAACAAAAUCUUGUAUUGAAAUCAUUUACUACAUCAGAAUACGUGAUGAAAAGAUUGCCUCGGAUAGUUCUGUUGAUUUUAAAAUCAAGACAAACUGAGUCAACUAAUCAAGAAAAAGAAAACCUCAUGAUGUGGGUUGAAUUGCCAGGGACACCUAUGCUAAGACUUCAGGUCUUUAUACAGCUCAGUGGCCGGGUCUUUCUUGGCGAAAUAUUUGCAAAGUACACACGAAGCCCUCGCUCGCUCCGUAAAAAGUUCUCUUUCUCGGUACUUUUCAUUCGAAAAUUGUAAACUUAGUAGAGGACUUGCGAUUUUGGAUGCGAAAAGCUGGAUUUGGCGACUACUGCGAGCUAUUUUAAGGUAAAUAUUUGAAGUUUUUCUUGCAUUUAGUCUUCCCGCCUUUUUAUUGUGUUAACUUGGCCUGCAAAAACAGACAAAUUUAUUGCAAGAUUCUUAUAGUUUGAUUCUAAAAUGUUUUUCAAAUAGUUGUUUCUAUAAUUUUUGAUGCUGGUCGAUUUAUUUUUUCUGUGGGGCUGUUGCCAAAAGAGUUUUUCAGUCGCAAAACUGACGGCGAAGUAUUUUUUUGUUUCUGAUCAGCAUGAAUACAUGAUAUCGCGAGCCUCCGAUAUUUACCUUAAAGUUCCUGGGAUAUUUUAAUAGUCUAUAACAAUUCGAAUUCGUAUCUUUAGAAGCAGUAGAAGGACAGAAGUCCACAAUGCCCGGUAGAGGGUAGAAGAAGCAAUGCCAAUGGGAAACUCAAACACAAAUUUCAAUACAAGAAAGCCCUAACUUAGCGAAACGAUGUUGAAAACAACCCCAAAAUAACUGUUCAAUUCUCAAUGGACGAAGCAACUUACCAUGAUGCAGUAAAUCUAGAUUGAAGACUCGUUUCGUGCAAUUGGCACAACAGGAAAUCUCCGAAAAUUUUACUACGAGGAAAAUUGUAAAAGAAGAAACGUGGAUCAGUAUUGCUUAUACAGCCAGGUCAUCAUCUUGGUAGAGUGAGUCUUAGCUUAGUAGAACUCUAGUAGAACUGAACAACCAGUGUCUUAAUGACUAUACCAUUAUGUUUUAGGCAUGCAUGGUACUCCACUUAAAAACAUUUUCUAAAUUUUUUGCAAAUUUGCAUGUGUGUUAAAGUGUAAAUAAAAAGUAUUAAAGAGCUAUACUAUAGAAGCAAUUCCUUUAAUGCGUAGUUGACUUGCUGUACUCAAACAGAAAUGUAAUUGAUCUCAUGUAUUCAAUAUUAUAAUAAUAUAAUAACGAUAUUUGUGCUGCAUUGUUUGUUGACUCGAUCGGUAUUAUAGGUAGAAAUCUUCGAUGGAACGGAAUAUUUCGCUCAAUUUAUU
This is a long non-coding RNA of Dendronephthya gigantea, 1412 nucleotides long. RefSeq lists it as uncharacterized. Lineage: Eukaryota; Metazoa; Cnidaria; Anthozoa; Malacalcyonacea; Nephtheidae. The record is from RefSeq and is a predicted model, not a curated record. The transcript has 3 exons.